RNAcentral lists this microRNA (22 nucleotides) under Heliconius melpomene (postman butterfly). RNAcentral describes it as "Hme-Mir-2766-P1_5p* (star (passenger))". The record is from RNAcentral. Lineage: Eukaryota; Metazoa; Arthropoda; Insecta; Lepidoptera; Nymphalidae.
CCAUCAUUUGGCUCGACUGUCA